AAUAAGGCAACACGCAAAGGA
This 21-nucleotide microRNA is filed under the name Monodelphis domestica (gray short-tailed opossum). Its description in RNAcentral is "mdo-miR-12297j-3p". Lineage: Eukaryota; Metazoa; Chordata; Mammalia; Didelphimorphia; Didelphidae. The record is from miRBase by way of RNAcentral.